UACGGGGGGGGCAAGCGUUGUUCGGAAUUACUGGGCGUAAAGGGCUCGUAGGUGGUCAACUAAGUCGGACGUGAAAUCCCUCGGCUUAACCGGGGAACUGCGUCCGAUACUGGAUGACUUGAGUUCGGGAGAGGGAUGCGGAAUUCCAGGUGUAGCGGUGAAAUGCGUAGAUAUCUGGAGGAACACCGGUGGCGAAGGCGGCAUCCUGGACCGACACUGACGCUGAGGAGCGAAAGCGUGGGUAGCGAACCGG
Molecule: ribosomal RNA, 253 nt
Filed under: uncultured bacterium
Lineage: Bacteria
Description: partial 16S ribosomal RNA
Rfam family: Bacterial small subunit ribosomal RNA
Source: RNAcentral